This 652-nucleotide ribosomal RNA is filed under the name uncultured bacterium. Its description in RNAcentral is "bacterial SSU rRNA". It matches the Rfam family "Bacterial small subunit ribosomal RNA", at positions 56 to 724 of the family's 1533-position model. The record is from RNAcentral.
UGCAAGUCGAACGGAAAUAAAGGAGCUUGCUCCUUUAAAUUAGUGGCGAACGGGUGAGUAACACGUGGGCAACCUGCCCCUGACUCUGGGAUAACUACUCGAAAGAGUAGCUAAUACCGGAUAUGAAACCUGAAGACAUCUUCGGGUUUGGAAAGUUUUUCGGUCAGGGAUGGGCCCGCGGCCUAUCAGCUAGUUGGUGAGGUAGUGGCUCACCAAGGCGACGACGGGUAGCCGGCCUGAGAGGGCGACCGGCCACACUGGGACUGAGACACGGCCCAGACUCCUACGGGAGGCAGCAGUGGGGAAUAUUGCGCAAUGGGCGAAAGCCUGACGCAGCAACGCCGCGUGCGGGAUGAAGGCCUUCGGGUUGUAAACCGCUUUCAGCAGGGAAGAAGCGAAAGUGACGGUACCUGCAGAAGAAGCACCGGCUACCUACGUACCAGCAGCCGCGGUAAUACGUAGGGUGCAAGCGUUGUCCGGAUUUAUUGGGCGUAAGAGCUCGUAGGCGGUUAGUCACGUCGGAUGUGAAACUCAGUGCUUACACUGAGCUUGCAUUCGAUCCGGGCUGACUAGAGAUUGUAGGGGAGACUGGACCUCCUGGGGUACCGGUGAAAUGCCCAAAUUUCAGGAAAAACACCGGUGGCGAAGGCGG